This is a long non-coding RNA of Zea mays, 1179 nucleotides long. RefSeq lists it as uncharacterized. Lineage: Eukaryota; Viridiplantae; Streptophyta; Magnoliopsida; Poales; Poaceae. The transcript has 3 exons. The record is from RefSeq and is a predicted model, not a curated record.
GGUUAAGUAAGUCUGGUCUAUUGUUAAGGGGAAUUUAAAAUCAAAGGGCUUAAACAGUGAGGAGGGGAAUGGGAGCAGCAGGCCUGAUUUGGUUGAAUUCAGAGUUUCAGUUGGUAAAUAAAGAAGAUCCUUUUCCCUGCAAGUGUUACUUUAAAUAUGUGGAUGGAGAUAAGAGUAAAAUGCGUGGCCAAGGGAGAUGCCUCUCCCCACUGAAAUAUCUAAGUUUUGGACUGUCUGGGAACAGUGGGUCCUUAUCUGCUCUCCUCUAUGUCUGAAUUUCUGGGCAGAGUGGAUAUUUGUGGUGUGCCUGUGAACCAGCCCAAGUUCGAUGCUUUGGUGCUGCUUGCAUGUUGGCGUGGGGCUUGGAAGCUUAGCCACGUGUUUGAGCCAUGUUGUGCUGGCGCCAUCAAAGUCUUCUCUACUGUGAACCGGCCGAGCUCAAUCACUUUGCACUACCCUUUUAUCUAGUCGCUGCAGGGCCAGGGCAGUGAAGUCUCUUCUCGUUCUUGAGUUCUAGCGAGAGUGCAUCGUGUGAGUGUUGUGGUUCAUGUUCACGUCGGUGUUUACUCUCCCCGGCCAUCAGUGUCUCAUUGGGAACGCCGCGGUGCCGCCGGUGAACGCCGCUGGGAAUGAUCUCGACAUGGCAGACCUUGUUUGGGGCCGGUUGCGUGCGUGAUCUAGGGUUGGUCUGCUCUAUGGUGAGUCGCUAGUGCCUGCUCCACCGUGGUUGGGAACUCUACUGCGUCGUCGUUCCGGCUUAACACCGUCAGAGUUGGGCGCCGCCGGCACGCGCAGAGGAAGCGCGGGCGCGCGUGGUGCUGGAGCCUAGGGCUGUAAGCGCUAUCUGAGUGGGCCAGUUUUGCCUGGAGUUGGGCUGGCUGGAGCUCCCAAAAUAAAGAGUGAAGAUUUAAGAUAAAGUGGUUGCUGGAGAGGAGUCUACUCCAGUGCCUGUUCAUCAAGUGGAUGGAGCCAUCUAACUGAUCAUCGUGUUAGAAGUAUCUAGAACCUCUUCUCUGCAACAAAGGCAAGCCCCGGUGCAUUUGCCCCUUCCUUGUGUUUUAAAUGCUUUAUCACCUUAAAUGAUGCAUUAGGUGAUAGGAGUUGUGUGAUGAACAAUUGAUGCAUUACCAUUCCUUGGAAUUUGAAUACUAUACCUUGAUCCCUGAUUUAUAAAAAGAA